Molecule: non-coding RNA, 77 nt
Organism: Potamilus streckersoni
Lineage: Eukaryota; Metazoa; Mollusca; Bivalvia; Unionida; Unionidae
Source: the annotation of a GenBank genome assembly
GCUUUGGUGGCCUAGUGGCUAGAGCGUCCACCUCAAAUGCGGGAGGUCGUGGGUUCGAUUCCCAGCUGAGUUAUACA